RNAcentral lists this non-coding RNA (198 nucleotides) under Oceaniovalibus guishaninsula. The record is from RNAcentral. Lineage: Bacteria; Pseudomonadati; Pseudomonadota; Alphaproteobacteria; Rhodobacterales; Roseobacteraceae. RNAcentral also lists the same sequence under 1 other name.
CAUGGGUGGGACGCGAAAGGUUCCGGCCCAUGCCGGAGGAGACAAGGGAAUGCAGUGCGGCCCGCGCGCCAAAUCUGUAGCUGCCCCCGCAACUGUAAGCGGCGAGUAGGGCCGACGACGCCACUGGAGCGAUCCGGGAAGGCCGGCCUGUCGCGAUGACCCGCAAGCCAGGAGACCUGCCUGUCGCGACGAUGAAAC